This 233-nucleotide ribosomal RNA is filed under the name uncultured Actinomycetales bacterium. RNAcentral's name for it is "partial 16S ribosomal RNA". It matches the Rfam family "Bacterial small subunit ribosomal RNA", at positions 97 to 334 of the family's 1533-position model. Lineage: Bacteria; Bacillati; Actinomycetota; Actinomycetes; Actinomycetales. The record is from RNAcentral.
GGCGAACGGGUGAGUAACACGUGGGUGAUCUGCCCUGCACUCUGGGAUAAGCCUGGGAAACUGGGUCUAAUACCGGAUAGGAGCCAUCUUUAGUGUGGUGGUUGGAAAGUUUUUCGGUGUAGGAUGAGCUCGCGGCCUAUCAGCUUGUUGGUGGGGUAAUGGCCUACCAAGGCGGCGACGGGUAGCCGGCCUGAGAGGGUGUACGGCCACAUUGGGACUGAGAUACGGCCCAG